GAUGAACGCUGGCGGCGUGCCUAACACAUGCAAGUCGAGCGAACGGACGAGGAGCUUUCUCCUCUUACGUUGGCGACGGACGGGUGAGUAACACGUGGAUAACCUACCUAUAAGACUGGGAUAACUUCGGGAACCCGGAUCCAAUACCGGAUAAUAUAUUGAACCGCAUGGUUCAAUGGUGCAAGAGGGUUUUGCUGUCACUAUUAGAUGGUUCCGCGCCGCAUUAGCUAGUUGGUAAGGUAACGGCUUACCAAGGCAACGAUGCGUAGCUGACCUGAGAGGGUGAUCAGCCACACUGGAACUGAGACACGGUCCAGACUCCUACGGGAGGCAGCAGUGGGGAAUAUUGCACAAUGGGCGAAAGCCUGACGGAGCCACGCCGCGUGAGUGAAGAAGGUCUUCGGAUCGUAAAACUCUGUUAUUAGGGAAGAACGAAUGUGUGAGUAACUAUGGACGUCUUGGCGGUACCUAAACAGAAAGCAACGGCUAACUACGUG
RNAcentral lists this ribosomal RNA (497 nucleotides) under uncultured bacterium. RNAcentral's name for it is "partial 16S ribosomal RNA". It matches the Rfam family "Bacterial small subunit ribosomal RNA", at positions 28 to 507 of the family's 1533-position model. The record is from RNAcentral.